Molecule: long non-coding RNA, 1217 nt
Filed under: Felis catus (domestic cat)
Lineage: Eukaryota; Metazoa; Chordata; Mammalia; Carnivora; Felidae
Description: lncRNA (ENSFCAG00000049754.1)
Source: RNAcentral
AAGGUUAGCUUCCCCGGCUGACUACCUCACACGAGCACAGCACAGUGAGGUCAAAGCUCCCUGACCAUGAGCCUGCCUCCCUCCCACGUGUCCUGCCUGGGCAGGCCCUGCAGACUCCGGCUCGGUUCAGGGUUUCGUAACCUCCUCCUCCGGCUGCUUGCAAACCCUGCCAACCCGCGGUGAGAGGUGGCUUCUGGCGUGCCGCGGGGGCCACACGGUCCUGGCGCGGUGGCUCCGCCACUGGGGUCCACCCACACCGCCCUGCAGAAACCUGAAGGUCCUCAGGCGGCUUCGGCGCCACAGGCGGAGCUUCUCCUACGCCCCUUGCUGACGCGUCGCCGCGCGGGCCGCGGUGCAGAGACGCACCCGCUGCAUUCAGGCCACCCUCUCGGUGACAAGUGGCCCCUAAUCAUCACUAGGUCUUUGUUUGGAUUUUAAUUCCACUCCGCGAAGACAGCGGAAAGCAGCGCGUCUGGCGCUGGUGAGGAGAGGAGCAAGGAAGCCGCACGGGCCGGGAAGGGAACCGCACGGCGGGGUCAGCAGCGAGGCCGCCCUGGCCGCCUCCAGUGCACAGGUGCGCGGGCCACGGGCACAGCCACCAGGGGACGCGGGAAGGAAGCACGAGCCGGGUUAAUUGGACACGGUUGAUCAGUGAAAGGAGAAUAGCCUGGAGUGAAGGGACAGGAUCCCUUAAUAGAGUAAAAUGUUUCCCAUCAAGCCUCCCCGGAGCAGCUCUAAGCAGACUCUGCCGCACCGGCCGGGGACAGAUGCAGGUGACGAAGGCCACGGAGUAAACAGGAAACGAGAAUGCGCUCGACCAGAGGCCGGGCUGUCGUCGUGGGAGAAGAAUCACUUCCUCAAUUUAUCUCGCGGCGCGUGAGUCGAAACAGGAGGAAGGAGAAGGCAUCACACCUUGUUUCCCCUUUUCUGGCCAAAACACCUCCCUCCGUUUAUGACACUCUCAAAACUUCAUCUCACCCACCUGUGUCUGAGCUACAGCGACGAGGGUGACAGGGCUCCGCGGGACCCACAGGUGUGGGUGCUUUGAGUCCCCAGCCAGCCCAGGAUGUGACCCCAACCUGUUAAACCCCUAAGAAAACAGAAAAAAAAACACCCUUACUGCAUGGAAAACUAAACUUGUCAGGUAAGCUGCUAUGAAUAUCUAACAGGAGUUCUCAUUAAAUAAAAAGAUAAUAGAAUUUUUCGUGGAUUAUGUG